RNAcentral lists this ribosomal RNA (492 nucleotides) under uncultured bacterium. RNAcentral's name for it is "partial 16S ribosomal RNA". It matches the Rfam family "Bacterial small subunit ribosomal RNA", at positions 29 to 507 of the family's 1533-position model. The record is from RNAcentral.
AGUGAACGCUGGCGGUAGGCCUAACACAUGCAAGUCGAACGGCAGCACAGUAAGAGCUUGCUCUUACGGGUGGCGAGUGGCGGACGGGUGAGGAAUACAUCGGAAUCUACUUUUUCGUGGGGGAUAACGUAGGGAAACUUACGCUAAUACCGCAUACGACAUACGGGUGAAAGCAGGGGAUCUUCGGACCUUGCGCGAUUGAAUGAGCCGAUGUCGGAUUAGCUAGUUGGCGGGGUAAAGGCCCACCAAGGCGACAAUCCGUAGCUGGUCUGUGAGGAUGAUCAGCCACACUGUAACUGAGACACGGUCCAGACUCCUACGGGAGGCAGCAGUGGGGAAUAUUGGACAAUGGGCGCAAGCCUGAUCCAGCCAUACCGCGUGGGUGAAGAAGGCCUUCGGGUUGUAAAGCCCUUUUGUUGGGAAAGAAAAGCAGCAGGUUAAUACCCCGCUGUUCUGACGGUACCCAAAGAAUAAGCACCGGCUAACUUCGUG